This is a non-coding RNA of Phoenix dactylifera (date palm), 1214 nucleotides long. The record is from RefSeq and is a predicted model, not a curated record. NCBI's taxonomy places the organism in Eukaryota, Viridiplantae, Streptophyta, Magnoliopsida, Arecales, Arecaceae.
CCCAAGGAGAAUGAUGGGCGUUAACAUAUACGAAGGCGUCAGCAUCGACCGCUUCGUUAGAACCCGGGGAGAGGGUAGUCUGGCUUCGGUUUGGUGUUCCGCCGAUAUUAGCCGCCGGUUAGUUGCGUCCUCUCCUCUCUCUCUCUCCGCCGCCGCCGCCGCCGCCGCCGCCGAGAUCUCCUGCGGUUUAUUUUCCUUGUGCCUUUGCCAGAGGCGUUCCAAUCUCCGCGGCCGGCAACUGACGGAGCCAGCUGCACCACAAUUUGCGGCAGUGGGUCGUCGACAAGAUAAGGGAUGCUUUGACGAGACACUUGCCUAUCAGAGUCCAUUGUGAAAAAAUCUUCUGAGAAAUUGGCCAUGAUAUAUCUGAUCCAUGCAUAAUAUCAUGAAAAAUGGAUACAAAUUGAGUUUUGGUACCUCUGCUUGUGAUUGGCCCAGAGGAAUAAGGCUCACAAAAAAGAACUGGAUACACAUCCUUGGUAUAUGGAAGUACCCCGACAGGUCUGGCUCCCUAACUAAAGGAUUAGCUUUUGGAGAAGCCGCUGCGAAGCGGCUUGCUUAGAUCAAAUGAGAUAUCCCAACCUUUGAUUGUCAAACUUGCAGUUCCCAUGAACCAAGCACAGGAUGAUGAACAAGGCAAUGGGGCCUACAGAGCCCCAUUUAUACCACCACUCAAAACGACAACUCAAAACACCAAUUCAUCAGCGAAACUCACCCCUAUUUCACUUACGAAGCAACCGGGCUCGCCUCAACAAGAUAAGCUGCAUCCCGUAGGGAAAGAGUCCCGUAGGCCCAAGGCUUAAACGAACUUCAAAAAGAUGCUGUAUGAUUUGAAGAAAAGAUUUAUACUGCAGCUACAAGCCCGGUACAUACCUGAAUUUCUAACUUCCCUUAUGAUUCUUUUAUAAUGUAAGAUGGAUUCUUCCUGCUAUAAGCAAUUAACCAUCAUUCCUUCUUAGUGACUGUUCCUAUAAAUUUAGAAUUACAACUGAAGGCUUGCUAAAGUGUGUGUUCUGGAAAACAUCUUUUUUGUUUGUUCUAUAACCUGGGACCAGCGGACACAACAGACUGCCGAAACUGGCUAUCGUUUUGUCAUCAAACGAUUUUAGUGAUCAUGGCAAUGCAGAGUUCUGAAUUAAGGUGCUCAAGUGCAAUGUAUGUUUAGCUGAUUAGGAAGCUAAUCAAGUUACCCUUGUCUGCAUGUAUUUGUUCAA